GACGAACGCUGGCGGCGUGCCUAAUACAUGCAAGUCGAACGAGAGCGACCGGUGCUUGCACUGGUCAAUCUAGUGGCGAACGGGUGAGUAACACGUGGGUAACCUGCCCAUCAGAGGGGGAUAACAUCCGGAAACGGAUGCUAAGACCGCAUAGGUCUUCGAACCGCAUGGUUUGAAGAGGAAAAGAGGCGCAAGCUUCUGCUGAUGGAUGGACCCGCGGUGCAUUAGCUAGUUGGUGAGGUAACGGCUCACCAAGGCCGUGAUGCAUAGCCGACCUGAGAGGGUGAUCGGCCACAUUGGGACUGAGACACGGCCCAAACUCCUACGGGAGGCAGCAGUAGGGAAUCUUCCGCAAUGGACGCAAGUCUGACGGAGCAACGCCGCGUGAGUGAAGAAGGUUUUCGGAUCGUAAAACUCUGUUGUUAGAGAAGAACAAGUGCUAGAGUAACUGUUAGCGCCUUGACGGUAUCUAACCAGAAAGCCACGGCUAACUACGUG
RNAcentral lists this ribosomal RNA (498 nucleotides) under uncultured bacterium. Its description in RNAcentral is "partial 16S ribosomal RNA". It matches the Rfam family "Bacterial small subunit ribosomal RNA", at positions 28 to 507 of the family's 1533-position model. The record is from RNAcentral.